Long non-coding RNA from Pteropus alecto (black flying fox), 1085 nucleotides. RefSeq lists it as uncharacterized. The transcript is spliced from 3 exons. Lineage: Eukaryota; Metazoa; Chordata; Mammalia; Chiroptera; Pteropodidae. The record is from RefSeq and is a predicted model, not a curated record.
UCGGUCCUGACCCACAACCCGGUGGUGUUAGAAACAGCUACGAUUUGCACUUCAAAGAAAACUUGGAUACCUUAGGAUCGGACCUCUGUCUGGCUAUGAAUCUCUUUGGAGUUUGCGAUGUAUUUUCUCAUUCCAUUGGCCCUGCAUUCACAGAAAUGUUUGGCUUUGUAGAGCGCCAACUAUAUGCUAGAUCCCAUUCCUGGGCGAGGUCCCUACCCUGGUGGAGCUUGUAUCCUACCACGGUACUCUUAAAAUGGUGUGGGGAUAGAUAGGCAGAAGAGAGAUUAUGAUGUCCACAGGACCUGAGAGAAGCUUUCCAAAGCACAAGGCAAGAGUUGAACCUGGUCCCCUGUCUUCUAGACUCCUUAUCCCCAACAAAAGUCAACUCUGUUGCACCCAAGCGCUCAGAAAUGUACUGGAGGAGAGUGUUCACUGCAGUUCUGAGCACAUCAUCCUUACCAACAGGCCGAAGAAGGCCCUGGAGGCCCGGGAUCAGCCAAUGGCGGGACUGAAAAUUCUCCAUCCAAGACAACCUGCUUGGCCAGGCCAACUGGCUUGGCCUUCCCCAUGCUAGAAAUUGCAAUUCUGCUUUCCCUUCGUACCUCUCAGUAGCAUGCCCAGAAGAAAGUACCUUAGAUCUACUCCUUGAAGGCUUAUACUUAAUUUACUAGACUGGGAAAAGUUCUUUUAGCCCCAAGUGUGACCAUGUUUUGUAGUUAGUAUCCCCAAAUAAUGGAGGAGUGAGACCAUGUAGGAAGAAUGAGGAAAAAAAUCAUCGCUUGGUACCCAUGAUUAUAAAGCCAUGUCUGGUGUGCUAUCUUAUUCUACAGAUUGCCCUGUACCUGCAUGAGAACUGGUCCUGUCUCAUAGAGCAAGAAGCAGACAGAAAAGAGAAGGGACUUGCUCAAGUUCCCUGACUUCUAAACGUACUGAGACAGAAAGUAGAGCUGUGUAGGUAAGAAGUGGCUCUGGAAUCAGAUAGACCUGGUUUGAAUUCUGGUUCUGCAACUGCCUAGGAAAAAAAAAGUCUCUGGAAUGGAAGGCAAAGUUCAUCUCUCCAGAAGGCUGGGUAAACCUUAAGAAUA